CACCGCGGUUAUACGAGAGGCCCAAGAUAACAGACCUUCGGCGUAAAGAGUGGUUAAAUCUACUAUAAACUAGAGACAAACUAUCUCGAAGCUGUUAUACGCUCUUGAGAAUGGGAAGUUCUUCCACGAAAGUGACUUUAUUUUGUUGAACCCACGAAAGCCAGGGCA
This 168-nucleotide ribosomal RNA is filed under the name Entomacrodus macrospilus. RNAcentral describes it as "partial small subunit ribosomal RNA". Lineage: Eukaryota; Metazoa; Chordata; Actinopteri; Blenniiformes; Blenniidae. The record is from RNAcentral.